UCACACCUGCCUCAGCCUCGGGA
This 23-nucleotide ribosomal RNA is filed under the name Ulva sp. BER-2007. Its description in RNAcentral is "partial 5.8S ribosomal RNA". Lineage: Eukaryota; Viridiplantae; Chlorophyta; Ulvophyceae; Ulvales; Ulvaceae. The record is from RNAcentral.